GACGAACGCUGGCGGCGUGCUUAACACAUGCAAGUCGAGCGAGGCCCUUCCUUCGGGAAGGUGUCCUAGCGGCGAACGGGUGAGUAACACGUGGGCAAUCUGCCCUCAGCUCUGGGAUAACUCCGGGAAACCGGGGCUAACACCGGAUAUGACCUCGUGAGGCAUCUCGCGAGGUGGAAAGGUUACGGCUGAGGAUGAGCCCGNGGCCUAUCAGCUUGUUGGUGGGGUANGGCCCACCAAGGCGACGACGGGUAGCCGGCCUGAGAGGGUGACCGGCCACACUGGGACUGAGACACGGCCCAGACUCCUACGGGAGGCAGCAGUGGGGAAUAUUGCGCAAUGGGCGAAAGCCUGACGCAGCGACGCCGCGUGAGGGA
RNAcentral lists this ribosomal RNA (377 nucleotides) under uncultured bacterium. Its description in RNAcentral is "bacterial SSU rRNA". It matches the Rfam family "Bacterial small subunit ribosomal RNA", at positions 28 to 408 of the family's 1533-position model. The record is from RNAcentral.